RNAcentral lists this ribosomal RNA (274 nucleotides) under uncultured bacterium. RNAcentral's name for it is "partial 16S ribosomal RNA". It matches the Rfam family "Bacterial small subunit ribosomal RNA", at positions 523 to 796 of the family's 1533-position model. The record is from RNAcentral.
AUACGGAGGGGGUUAGCGUUGUUCGGAAUUACUGGGCGUAAAGCGUACGUAGGCGGAUCGGAAAGUAAGGGGUGAAAUCCCUGGGCUCAACCCUGGAACUGCCUCUUAAACUCCCGGUCUUGAGUUCGAGAGAGGUGAGUGGAAUUCCUAGUGUAGAGGUGAAAUUCGUAGAUAUUAGGAGGAACACCAGUGGCGAAGGCGGCUCACUGGCUCGAUACUGACGCUGAGGUACGAAAGUGUGGGGAGCAAACAGGAUUAGAAACCCUAGUAGUCC